This is a long non-coding RNA of Oenanthe melanoleuca, 1219 nucleotides long. RefSeq lists it as uncharacterized. The record is from RefSeq and is a predicted model, not a curated record. The transcript has 6 exons. NCBI's taxonomy places the organism in Eukaryota, Metazoa, Chordata, Aves, Passeriformes, Muscicapidae.
AGUAAAAAUAACCCCAUUACACGCCUGAGGAGGAUGUGAAGAAGAAAGGAAAUUCAUCAAAAGGAAGAAGAGAAAAAGAAAAAAAAUUAAGAGAGAGGAGAAAAAAACCCCAAAAAACAAACCAAAACGAAGAGAAAGAAAAAGAGAGGCGGAAAAAAUGGGGGAAAAGACAACUUUCAGAGACUGGAAUUAAAACCUGAGCCCGAGGUCCGUCCUGCCACAGCCACGGGGACUCUCCUGGACUCAGGCUGGACGUGGGCUCACCAUACAUGAUGCUCAUUUUCUGGCUGACAGGUCCUUGGCCCUGGUGAGAGCUCACUGGGAAUAUCCUGCUCAGGUUGGCUCAUUAUUCCAUGAACCAGGAGUGGGGGUUAUGUGGGAAAAAUCCCCCUCCAAAAUGAGGAGCUGCCUUGAGGGACCCUCAGCGCUUCAGCCCCCUCCUGGCAGACCCUGGAGCACGAUGUGGGUCCUGAUUUCCAGCAGAGGCCCCCAGGACAUCCCCUCCUGCUGCACCCAGGGGGAACAAGCCCAUGCCACCCACAAUUCCUGGCUGAGGCCUCCUGACUCCAAACCAGCAUUCCUGGGGCAUUCCUGGUGUCAUGGUGAAGAGCAUAAGGCUGGAAGAAUAGGAAAAAUAAAAUAAAAAAAAAAAAAAAAAAAAAAAAAAAAAGAAGAAAGAAAAAGAGUCUCCAACCCCAGGAAAUCUGUGUUAAUUGCUUAUGAAUGUCUCUGUCUAAAAAAUUAUCGAAUUGAUGUUGUCGUGCUUUUUUUUGACAGCCUGUCUGUUACAUUUUUUUAAAAUAUUCAUGCACUGAAAUCUAAUUACUAGGCAAAUUUAAUGAUAAUGAAAUGAAGGCACUUUAGCAGAAAGCAUAGGGCCUUGUUAAUGUUUUCUCAGCCUCUGUCUUGUUCAUAUUUUUAAAAUUCUUUCCUUGCAUUUUUUUUUCCUUGCCUAUUAAAAAAAAAAAAAAAAAAAGAUUGCUGAAAAUAAAACUCAGAUUGCUGAUAAUGUUUGUGGUGGCUCUGUUUGUAAUGAUGGGGAAUUUGCAAGGUGAUUAAAGGUGUUUUGCAAAAAUCAAAUGAGCCUAACCUAAUCAGAUAAGGCAGAUGAAAUAUUAUUAUUAGGGGGAAAAAGCCUGGAGGCUUUAACAAAGAUGAAGCAUCUCAUGCACUGUGCCAACAACAGCCUUGCCAUCCUCUGGACCCCUCCAGCCCCUUC